AAACAACUUCAUAUAUUUUGAUUCUUUGACAGUUUUGGCCCUCCAAGGCAAAAAAAAAAAAAAAAUUGACACGUGGCACCUCACUUAGGGUGCCACGUCAGCGUUGACCGAGUCAACAAUGGACUGGGGGUUCAAAACUGCCAAAGAAUCAAAACACAAAGGGCUGUUU
Molecule: microRNA precursor, 169 nt
Filed under: Medicago truncatula (barrel medic)
Lineage: Eukaryota; Viridiplantae; Streptophyta; Magnoliopsida; Fabales; Fabaceae
Description: MIR2619 microRNA precursor family
Rfam family: MIR2619 microRNA precursor family
Source: Rfam by way of RNAcentral